UACGAGUGCCCCAAGCGUUAUCCGGAAUUAUUGGGCGUAAAGGGCGCGUAGGCGGCCUUCUAAGUCAGACGUGAAAUCCCUCGGCUCAACCGAGGAACUGCGUCUGAUACUGGAAGGCUGGAAUCCGGGAGAGGGAUGUGGAAUUCCAGGUGUAGCGGUGAAAUGCGUAGAUAUCUGGAGGAAUACCGGUGGCGAAGGCGGCAUCCUGGACCGGUAUUGACGCUGAGGCGCGAAAGCUAGGGGAGCAAACGGG
Molecule: ribosomal RNA, 253 nt
Filed under: uncultured bacterium
Lineage: Bacteria
Description: partial 16S ribosomal RNA
Rfam family: Bacterial small subunit ribosomal RNA
Source: RNAcentral